Molecule: transfer RNA, 73 nt
Filed under: Bacteriophage sp.
Description: tRNA-Lys
Rfam family: tRNA
About the family: Transfer RNA (tRNA) molecules are approximately 80 nucleotides in length. Their secondary structure includes four short double-helical elements and three loops (D, anti-codon, and T loops).
Source: RNAcentral
GAAUGAUUAGCUCAGUUGGGAGAGCAACGGAUUUUUAAUCCGUGGGGCAUGGGUUCGAGUCCCAUAUCGUUCA